CAGCAAAUCAGACGCGUCUCCCCCAGCGGUGCGCUGCGCUCUUACAGAGACCGAAGAGGCGCAAAACCUUCCUGACUUAGAUGGGACGGAGCAAAGUUCCUCUUUAGUAUUAUAGUUAUUUACAGGCGGUCUUCGGAGCAACGGAUCUAAGGUUUUUGUGGAGAAAACAGAAGCGCCAAGGAAGGUGAGGCUCCUGAUUAGGGUGGAUGAAAACACCUGUGCCGCCGUCCACCUGUCACGCCCUACUGGAGAGAGGAAUCAAUGGGCAAAAGGCGGGUGCAUCUUGGACAGGUUGCCAGUCCAUUCUUGAGCCACAAAAACCAGCUGGACAGACAACCAUACACAGCCCAUCCACGAUCAAAACAUCGCGCUGAGAAAUCCUGGUGAUCCAGGAGAGCUGAGCAGAAAGGUCACAGAGAGAGUCUGUAAAAUGGAUGAAGCCUAAUGAUUAGCUCAACCUUUGCCUAAUCAAUAAUCAUUUAUCCAACAAUAUCACCGGCAGCCACAGCCCCAUUUGCCAUUAACCUCAGCAGCGAGGCGAGAGGCAGUAUUGUUUCCUCUGGCAGCUUUAUGGCACUCAGAUGAGUGGUAGGGCUGGGAAGAAGCUUAAGGUUGGAUCUUGAUGGCUCAGAUCCUAUUAAGAGACUGCAGGUAUUUUACUGGAGAAGUGUCACAUAAUUACACUUUUAAAUGAUUGACGGUAAUGUUCGGCAUGCUGGUAAAAUUGUAGAACAGGGGGAUCAUUUAGCUCGAGGACAGAAUAUUAAAAAUGUUUAUGUGCACGUAAAUGAAAACAACGACCUAAAAUUUGUUUAGUAGGGAAGUUUCUAAACAGUAUUUUAUUUAGGAAAAUAGAUCUUUAAAAUGUGUAAAAUGAAAGGGAAAGGCUUUGGCGUUGCUCUCUGUUGACGUUCUGAAGCGUGUUAAAGAAAGAAAAUCAAUAAACCUGUUUAUGUCCAAUUAAGUUAAUAUCGCUUUUCCUGGCAAAAGAGUGAUACUGCAAAUUAUCACAUGAUAUAAGAAUAGUAAUCUGCCUCCGCUUCUUAUUUCUGCCCAACAUUCAGCCACAAAGCAUUAGCAGUGCCUGUCUCCUCUCUGUCUCUCCAUGAUGCCAUCUUCAUCAUAACCUCUCCCUUUUUAUUGCUUUUAAUGACUCUUUCUCCCUUUUCAUUAAUUCUUUAUCGAUUCCUCCUGACGCUGCCUGAAUUAUUUUUCAAUUACAGCAAAUAAAAGAUAAAGAAGACCCAUGGAAUAUGCAGGCCAGCCUGUGUUUGCUACGGUUGUGUUGCAGGAAGCAUUGUUAGUUUGCACAGAUUGUUGUGUCCAUCUUUCUGGUUAAACGCACUUUUACACACAUUUCUGCACAUAUACACUCUGGCCAAUAUGAAUAUGACUGCAGAGGAAGAGCGGUAAAGGUCACAGCCUUUGAAUGGCUUGGCUCUCUUACAGAGACUUAGCUCAGGCUCUGAGCUAAGCCUCAGUAAGAGCCUCUCUGGGAUACACGCAUGUAUCCCAGAGAGGAGUGUACCGAUAGUCGGACACCCGACACAAUUCACAGGGGCAAACAAACACCCACACACACGGGCGCAGUCUUCCAACUGACAUUACCGGGUCUUUUAAUAUGCUGAUCUGAGAAUAUGAAGGAUGGUCUAAAAAGCAGAUAGAUGCGGUCGCAAAAUUAGCCUCAGCGGUCCAUCAGAAGGUUCCAGUUAAUACCCACAGGUCAUUAAUUAUAACAAUUAUUCAAGCCCAUAUCACAGACACAUAUUGACUGUUUUUUUUUUUUUUUUCAUUUUUGGUCUCUACUUGGGUUGUCUGAUGACGCACCCAAAAGGCUCAAUUAAAGAAUAAAGCGUGUGUAUUAACAGUGUGUGUGUGUGUGUGUGUGUGUGUGUGUGUGUGCGCGCGCGCGCACAUGGGAAAUGGAGAUAGAUUUUUACCUGCACUGUUUAUUAUGGGGUGCACAAUGCUUUUUGUCCCUCCGUUGUCCAAUUACAUCAUAUUACUGUGAAGUUGUGCUAGACAAAAUGACGUUUUAUCAUCCAGAUCAGUGUGAUACACGUACACAUGUGUACAUGUGAUGGAAAUCAAAUAAACGUGUUCAAUCCCCUCA
Long non-coding RNA from Fundulus heteroclitus (mummichog), 2113 nucleotides. RefSeq lists it as uncharacterized. The transcript is spliced from 5 exons. The record is from RefSeq and is a predicted model, not a curated record. Lineage: Eukaryota; Metazoa; Chordata; Actinopteri; Cyprinodontiformes; Fundulidae.